UUGAAAUCUGAGGCUCUCAGCCCCCGAGUUGUAAUUUGAAGAUGGUGUUCUGGCGCCGGCCCCCUGUCUACGUUCCUUGGAACAGGACAUCACAGAGGGUGAGAAUCCCGUCUGGCGGGGCGGCCUGGCUCCGUGUAGAGCGCCAUCGACGAGUCGAGUUGUUUGGGAAUGCAGCUCUAAGUGGGUGGUAAAUUCCAUCUAAAGCUAAAUAUUGGCGAGAGACCGAUAGCGAACAAGUACAGUGAUGGAAAGAUGAAAAGAACUUUGAAAAGAGAGUGAAAAAGUACGUGAAAUUGUUGAAAGGGAA
This 307-nucleotide ribosomal RNA is filed under the name Williopsis jadinii. Its description in RNAcentral is "eukaryotic LSU rRNA". It matches the Rfam family "Eukaryotic large subunit ribosomal RNA", at positions 115 to 418 of the family's 3401-position model. The record is from RNAcentral. Lineage: Eukaryota; Fungi; Ascomycota; Saccharomycetes; Phaffomycetales; Wickerhamomycetaceae.